AUACAACAGGAAGAUGAAGCAUGAAGGUAACUGAUUAUAAAAGGGAUUUGGGGACAAUAAUGCAUUGUUUUGGAGGAAGGAAAAUAUAUUGCACUCAAAUAUCUGCAAAAACAUUGCAUGGAAAUGCCACAUCAUACAGAAUACAAAAUCCGAAAAAGGAAGGUGGCAGUUUAAUGCUUUAUUAACUUGUGGGACAAAUCUGUAAAGUCAUUGAACAAAGACUUAAGGCUGAUUCACACAUGUUUACUCAGCAGUGAAUGGAAUCAUCAGGUUUAGAAAGAAUUAUGUUUAAGCUGAUGUCAGAUAUUUUCAGAAAGUUCUCUCAGUGGUAUUUAAUUGUUGUUGUUGUUUAGUCGUUUAGUCAUGUCCGACUCUUCGUGACCCCAUGGACCACAGCAUGCCAGGCACUCCUGUCUUCGGUAUUUAAUUAGUGGCAACUGUUUACAUACACAGGUUGUCCAACGAACAUGUUUGUGUGAAUGUGGCCAGAAUACACCACCAUGACAGUUUUAGAGAUGAAGAAACUGUUUCAUCACCAGUGAGCUAAGUGUAUUGUGUUCUGCCCUUUGUAUUGAGCUUCCAUAAAUUUUAAUGAAUUUCCAGUAUGGUGGCUGCUCCUUCAGUGAUAUGGCAGGUGAAUCUUAGCUCAAAAUAAGCUGAUCAAAAUGGCAGAACCAAAAUACCAAAGCCUGGAGUUCAAAAGCUGGAGGCAAUAUAAUCUUAGUAUAGAAUCGUUAUUGGUGUGCAAAAGUAAAAUUAUUUACUAGAGGAGAUGGCAGAGAGAGUAAAUUAUGGCUCUUCUAAAUUGGUCAAUGGUUUGACUCAAUAUAAGGCAGCUUCAUAUGAGUUCAAAGCUUCACCAACUGCACCAGCUUGUUCGGAGUACCCCCAGGUAAAAGCUCAUAUAUAACCUGUUUUGGGAUGAGCAUUUAGGGUACCAUUUGGAGAUUGUGCAAUGGUACAAAAUCUGGAGUUUCAGUUUUAGGCUAAAAGAAGAAUCUUCAGAAGCCACACACAAAAAUCUGAGGCAAAAUCUGAAUAAAUGACCUCCAGCCUACUGCAGAGAAAUGAAGAAGCAAAUACAGUAAUGAAUGUUGUGUGCAAUGUGGGAAAACUGAUACGUGUCUUCAUUGCUGUGGUAGGAGCAUCUUGUAACCCAAAGGUUAAAUAUGGCUAACAUGCAGUAAUAACACUGUCCUGUUUGCAAGAAUCCCAAACGACUGCUAUUGACAGUGUAGCCCUGGAGCAUCCCUUCUAUAAACAGAACAGGACAUGUCUGCCCACUGCAGGUAUGAGCUAAAGCAUGGGACUUGGUGGUAAUAGAGAAUGUGACCUCAUAGAUGAAAGAAAUUAGAUUCCAAAAUAAGACUCUCUCUUGCUAUUUAGUGGUCUCCUUUUAUUUUCACAUGUUUAAUCCCCUGAAGAAAAGAAAAAUACUCUUAAUAUUAAUGCUAGGUGCAUAGCCUUAUAUUGGUGCUAACUAAAACCUUCUCACACAUCAUUUUUAUGAUGUAUGUGUACAUUUCUUCUGAGGAAUAAAACCUUUGAACAUUAAUGUUUUGUCUUUGUAACUGUUUGUAUGUGAUACAUAGGCUGCAAAUUCUAUUGAUUUUUUUUAGCUGAGUGGUUUUAUUUUUUUUCUAUUAAUUAAUCAUUCAUCUUUCGGUUGCUAUGAUUCAUUUGAUAUUUGUUUUCUGGGUACACUGUGCAUCAAUGAUAUGCAAGACUUUUGUAUUUGCGUAAAAAUGAAUAAACAGAAUGUGGUGGGUUUGUUUUUUUAAUAGUGUUAAUAUUUCUAGAGUUUUCCUGCAGUCUGUCAGGAGAAAUAGCCUAGGCAAUUGAUUCAAAGUUUGUCAGAAAGGUUACUAUGAACUCUAAAUAUAAACCCAGGCAAAAUAUGAUAUCAGGAGUAUUAUUCUUUCCACAAGGAACUGUGUUGCUAUACUGGAGCCAAAUCCAGCACUACUUUUAAUAAAGUUAUGAUGCUUCUAUAUGUACCAAGUCAGUCUACCAGCAUCUAUUCUGACUGGUGGAAGUUCUCCCUAGUUGUACUGCCUAAGUUCUGAAUUCCAGUUGGUAAGGAAUGUUGUGCUCAUGUCCUACUUAGGGUUUCCCAUACACAGAGGCAGGACAUUGUGUUUCACCCCUUGAGGCAAAACAGGAAAGUGUACACACACACACACACACACACACACACACACACACACCCCACGGCUUCCAUGCCAAAGGCUCUCUUACUGGGGUCACACGGGUAUGGUGGUUUCUGCCAAGAUAUGGUGGAGUUCUUUUGAGAGCUCACGAGAGUUCCACGAGAUCCUGUGAGAUCUCGCCAGAAGCCAAUGCAGCACAACCCCUGCGGUGGCAGAGGCAGGCCUGUGGGGGCGCUGUUUUAUGCAAUUCCAUUGAACAAGGUGGCUGCUUUAAUCCGUCUGCUUUAAGGUGCACAGGUGGACCUUUGGCUAAACCCAACAAGGCUCUUCUUACUUUCUUAUUCCCUGCUGCUCUAAGGUGGGUGAAACCAGAGAAUGAACACAUAUAAAUCAUGGACUCUACUGAAAAGCUCCAGCCCCUCUCCUAUAAAUUCACCAGUGUUUGGCAGUCCCAAUCUCAAUAGCCAUCUGAAACAGCUUUGGACAAGUAUCUUAUAUAGAUGUGAGUAGAAGUUCUUACAUGAUAGAAUCCAACCAAUACAUUUUUUGUAAAAAAAAAAAAACUAGCUUCUGCAAUUGGUGGGCCUUGAAAGUUACCCAGAGCAGUAAAGAGUUCUAAAACUCUGUGUUAGCUUUCUGUUCAUUCCUCAUCCGUUGCCAGAACAAGCAUGCUGACCUCUCUCAGAUCUCCUUAGCCAUCGGAAUAAAAGAGUGUCAUUUCAAUGCUCUCAAAGCCAGCAAGUCAAUAGUUAUUGCAAGAGAAAGAUAUAGUUUAUAUCCCACCAUGGCACAGUUGUCUUGUUCAGUUAUGGACUCCAACAUUGCACAUUGAUUGGUUUUGCCUCUCUGCUUUGAAGUCACAGAAGCAGCAGAAAAAAAAGUCUUCCAUGAAGUUGUGGCUUGUACCUGACUUCCACAUUCUAGCAAACAGUUGUGUGUCUCUGUGUGUUUUACUGCUGCUAUAAAAAUCCCACAGUUCAAAAUAUAAUAACACAGUUCAAGCACAAUAUUGAUUUUGGGUUUAUUUUAAACAAAGCUAACUGUUACAUCUGAUUAACAGUGCAUCAGGUAAUUUAAAUUUGUAGGUGUGGUUUUAAACUCCAUGUUUAAGAAGUUUCUCAAUCCAGACAAGUUGAUGGAAGUUGGGAGCAUAAUAAUCAUAGGGCUAUUUUGCCACCAAAUGUUAUAUAACUUACCCCAGUCAAAUGUCAGUAAUCAGGAUUCUUAAGGGUGUUUCACUCGACUAAAUGCACGAUGCAAACCAAACCAGCGUCCUGUUCCCAUCAUUCAGUAUUUCCUCAAUUUAAUAUUAGUUACUGGGGUUAACUGGUGUGAGACAAAAGAUCACCAGAGAGCCACAGAUCGGGAUGUGUGUGCCACUCUAUAGUUUUAAUAGCAUCACUCCUUCUAUUAGCAAACUUAUGUGGUGAAUGCCAGCAUGACUGAAGCCAAAACGAGAAACAAGAGGGAGGCAUCAGCAAGGGAACUCUGUGGUUUGUAGAAGUACAAUAAUAAAAAAAGCCUCUAAGGGGGCAUUCCCCCUCAAAAUCAAAAAGCAGCCCAAAGAGAACUGAACAUGCUUGGUUGUCACAGAAUGCUAAGUAUUAACUGGUGAAGAUUGGAAAUUGGUGGAGAUUAAUUGGAAAACUGGAGAGGGACUAGAUGAAAUGGAGUAUGUAGAGGAGAACAUGACUGGCUUGCUGGAACACUGAAUGACUGUUAGGGCAUGGCAAUAUACUGCAACAUUUUGUUGCAGGCCGCGCAUGUUUCCAUAUAAUUCUUAUGUGUGGCUAAUGAGUAAGCAAGCUGGCUUUCAUUACUGAGUUUUUAAUACUGCACUGUGUAAGUAAUUAGGGCCAGACGCACUAGUAAAUAAAACAGUGGUUGCUGAAUGUAAAUAGAACAAUAUUUAUAGUGCAGCUAAUAAAUAAAUACAUUGGUUCAUGCAAAGUCAUUGCAGAAGUGUUUUCAUUCUGUGUUUUUAUUCCAAAAACAUGUAGAAGAAAACUGCAUUGGCCUUUGUUUCUGUCAUAUUCCAAUAAACACAGAGUACCUGUUCUUCUGUGUUGACGGCAGAUUUCAUGCACACAUAUAGUGAGCCAGCGGAACUGCAUUACCAGCACAGCAGGCCCUGGCACAUGCAUAAGCAAUUAGACACAGAAACGAUCAUAAUUGAAUAUCUCAACACUUUCUCCUACUAUAGCUGACAUGUCCCUCGCUAAUUUAUCUUCCUCUUUCCUUCCUAGAGAAAUAGUCAACAGCUGUGGCAUCAGACAGAACUUAAUUUGGCAGCUGGAAAGCCCAGAUGCCAGGCCCUGGAAUUUACCUAUAAACUUUUGGAAAUAUAUAUUUCUGGAAACCUUGUUGGGAUCUGAUGCCAAUGGCCCUACUUGGCUUUAUAAAACAAGCCUUUGCUAGUUAAAUACCUGGCUUCCCUUCUGGAAGCCAGGCAGUUGUCCAAGAUGGUAAAUGCUGGUGUGUGCAUGUAAGUUUUAAAACGAGAGUGAGAACGACUAAAACUGCAAUCCUCUGAUCGGUUGGGAAUACAUAUUAAAUGUGGUAGGACUUACUUUUGAGUAAAUACAGAUAAGACUGGGUUGUAUCUGCAAUAGCAGCUUCCACAGGUAUGGAGUGUGAUCAAAAAUGUCACUGCAUAAUAAAAAUGUGCAUAUUUGAUGGGAAAAAAUUGAUCUAAUAAAUAUUCCCCUUGUCUUGCUUUUGGGUUUCCCAGCAGCUUAGUUAAGCACUGAUUUCUGUCCAGGACUUGGAUGGAAAAAAGGUGAAAAUUUACCAGGCUGAAACACACAUUAAUGGAAAUGCUCUAC
This 4975-nucleotide long non-coding RNA is filed under the name Podarcis lilfordi (Lilford's wall lizard). The record is from RNAcentral. Lineage: Eukaryota; Metazoa; Chordata; Lepidosauria; Squamata; Lacertidae.